AUAAGUUUGAUCUGUUUGUUUGUCAUUUUUGUAGUGAAACCAUUUUAAAAUAGAGACACAUAUUUUGCAGCUUCAGUGGUUGUAUGUUGUCCAAUUUUAGUGUUAAACAGGUUUUUUUUCUUGCAUUUCUUUAUAUCGGCUUAAAUUUGUUGCAGUAAAACAACAGGUUUUAUUUUAGAAAACUUUCAAUUUUGUGUUAUUUGAAACAAUAAUUUGACCUGUUCAAAACAAAGAAAAUGUGUAGUGAAAGAUUUGUCAUAGUUUUUCAUUUAUGGUUAUGUGGUAGAAAAUUCACAAAACAAGGUAUUCUAAACAAUGUUAAGAACACAUAUUUUAUUAUUAUUAUUUAUUUCUUAGCAGACGCCCUUAUCCAGGGCAACUUACAAUUGUUACAAGAUAUCACAUUAUUUUUACAUCCAAUUACAUUAUUUUUACAUGCAAUUGCCCAUUAUACAGUUGGGUUUUUACUGGAGCAAUCUAGGUAAAGUACCUUGCUCAAGAGUACAGCAACAGUGUCCCCAACCGGGGAUUGAACCCACGACCCUACAGUCAAGAGUCCAGAGCCCUAACCACUACUCCACACUGCUGCCCUAGCCACACAAGUGUUUAAAUAAACACUCCCUUUAGUUAAAAUGCCUGGCCAGGUAACUUCUUAAUUAUUGUAUCUAUUUAAUUAAGGAUUCCCCUUUAAGAAGGCUGAACUCCCAUGAGCCUUUGUUCUUUUUUAAACAGGUAGAGGGUGGAAGGGAGGCAGGUUUUGUGUUCUGGGUUCCUCCAUUUUGUGUAUGGUGGUGUGGUUUGUGUGCAGGUUCUGAAUGGGUUCCAGUUGGCUUUCAGGAUUUUAUUUACAAGAAAAUUAUAUUAAAUAAGAACUAUACCUACCUUGGAGCAUCUCUUGGACAACUUGUUGCUGUUGGACUGCCACUGGAACUACAGAAUAAGCAUCAACAAACAAACAAACAAACAGUCGGGUCUGUGAGGAUGAGAAGGUCUCCACAGUCUGGAGUCUGGUCUCUGACAGGCUCAACAUACCUGUCAAUCAACAGGGACUCCUCUACAAAGGCAAGGCGCUGGCAGGUAGGCUGAACAGCACAGCACAGCACAGCUCACCCCUCCUCUCACCCCUCACCUCAUCCCUCCUCUCACUCCUCGCCUCACCCCGGGUCAGUGUGGCACAGCCUGCCUGCUCUUCUGAACAAACACUUCAGCCCUGCCGACGCAGUGAGAGUCUGGAGCAGCAACACAAGGUCUGUGAGGAUGAGAAGGUCUCCACAGUCUGGAGUCUGGUCUCUGACAGGCUCAACAUACCUGUCAAUCAACAGGGACUCCUCUACAAAGGCAAGGCGCUGGCAGGUAGGCUGAACAGCACAGCACAGCACAGAACAGCUCACCCCUCCUCUCACGCCUCGCCUCACCCCGGGUCAGUGUGGCACAGCCUGCCUGCUCUUCUGAACAAACACUUCAGCCCUGCCGACGCAGUGAGAGUCUGGAGCAGCAACACAAGGUGAUGAAGUGACACAUUGAAUAUGGGGCCUGAUGAGAGAAGUAUCCUUUUCAUGUGGUUUUGGUUUUGCCGUUGUGAGCAGGUAUGGGAGACAGCACCGUGUCUGCAUGUGAAAUAACAAAGUCAUCGCAGUGGAGGGACUCUCUGAAGGCUGCUGUUUGUGGAUUUGUCUUGUAAUAUUCCUGGAGUGUGUGGCUGUGUGCCUGAGUGACAUCCAGAACUUAAGAGAAGUCGUUUCAAUUCUGGUUCUUUCUUGAGGAGAGGUGCCUUGUAGUGGUGAGUGUCAGGGUCAGUGUGGCUCGCUCCUGUGACUCUGAGCCCUGGAGCCGCUUUUAAGGGACAGUGUCCUGCAGAGUCUGCCUGUCUGCCCUUGACAUUGUGUGAGGGCGUUUGUACCUGAGAAUCAGGACUAGCUUCUCGUGACGAAUGGGAUGCUGGCUGGAGCAUUUCUUUAUGUAGUUCAGCAUGUUAGUUCACAUGUAGCUGACAGUGUGGACGUGCUCAUCUUGCAUUGCGAGUGUCAGCUGGUUAAUUCAUGACUACAGUAACCUGCAGGUCACAGCUUGCACAGGUUCAUCAACAUUGUCAGUUCCUCAUGUAUCCAGUGUGCGCAGUGCUGUAGCAGACAGUGAGGAGUAGUGGAGCAACAAUCAAUCCAUUUAUCCAUCCUCUGCCCUUAAAUUUCCCGAGCUGCGAUUACAUAUUGUUGAAUCGAUGCAUGAGAUGAGAGCCCAGUUUGGAGUCUGCUGUUGCCGUUGUCCCAGGAAAUAUGUUGAUCAAGCUCUAGAAUUUAAAGGGGAGGUUCCAUUGUUUCUAAUGUAACCGAGCCUAGGCUAGGAAAUAAGUAGAUCGAGCCAGGAAAUAAGUUGAUCGGAUAUGUUAAUGAAAAAUAAAUAAUUUAAAAUUCAUUUUGUAGGUAUAAUUUAUAUCAAUUAGUAGAUCGGAUUUAUUCAUCAGUAUGCUGCUUGAUAAGAUGAUGUGAAUAUCGCUUUAGAUCCGAUAUAUUAGCCUAACAAAAAUGCAUAAUUUAAAAUGACUUUUGUACGUAUAAUUUACAUUAACAUGUAGAUCGGAUACAUUCGACAGCAUUACGCUAGAUAAGGGAAUGUGAAUAUCGCUGUAAUAUAUAUUAGCAGCAAAUAAAUCAUUUAAAAUGAAUUGUACGAUUGUACAUUUCUGAUUGUGUAUUUCUGUUUGUGUAACAAACGUUAACUAGCAAAACGUGUUGCGUAUUGACGUUAUUUUGCAUUUCUGGAGGUGUUUUUGUUUUGGGAAGCACUACAGUUUGGACAGCAGGUAUGCGAGCGAUUGUCCAAAAGUUAAAGCAUGAGUUUCAAUCAUGGAAAACAUUAAGCUCCAUGCUGCGAUCACUAACUAGGCCACGGAGCACAUCAAUCACAGGAUGUACUUGAAAAACGUUGCUAAUACAGUAUUAUUAUUUGAUAUUUGUUCUUUCAUUUAUUUUACAUACAGUAUUUUGUAUAAUAAAGGACAGAAAAUGAACAGGAAACUGGUUAUCAUAGUGCAUGUGUUUCAAUUACAAGUUUGGGAAGAAACAAUACAUUCAUUAAUUAAAAUCUAAAGAGUUAACGUCUUUGCUAAACCGUGGUAAAUACCUGUAGUUCAAUACCAACCAUGAUUUUGUGUUGUGAGAGAGAUCAUACAGUAUAUAAGAACAUAAGAACAUAAGAAAGUUUACAAACGAGAGGAGGCCAUUCAGCCCAUCUUGCUCGUUUGGUUGUUAGUAGCUUAUUGAUCCCAGAAUCUCAUCAAGCAGCUUCUUGAAGGAUCCCAGGGUGUCAGCUUCAACAACAUUACUGGGGAGUUGGUUCCAGACCCUCACAAUUCUCUGUGUAAAAAAGUGCCUCCUAUUUUCUGUUCUGAAUGCCCCUUUAUCUAAUCUCCAUUUAUGACCCC
Molecule: RNA transcript, 3421 nt
Organism: Acipenser ruthenus (sterlet)
Lineage: Eukaryota; Metazoa; Chordata; Actinopteri; Acipenseriformes; Acipenseridae
Gene name: ubiquitin-like protein 4A
Exons: 5
Source: RefSeq, a predicted model, not a curated record